This is a long non-coding RNA of Prionailurus viverrinus (fishing cat), 1515 nucleotides long. RefSeq lists it as uncharacterized. The transcript is spliced from 3 exons. The record is from RefSeq and is a predicted model, not a curated record. NCBI's taxonomy places the organism in Eukaryota, Metazoa, Chordata, Mammalia, Carnivora, Felidae.
CCGAAGCAGGCUCCAGGCUCUGAGCUGUCAGCACAGAGGCUGACGCGAGGCUCGAACCCAUGAACCAUGAGAUCAAGACCCGAGCCGAAGUCGGUCGAUUAACUGACUGAGCCACCCGGGAACCCCUCCUUUUGGGUAAUCACCUGCCUCUUCCCUUGCACAGUCGGGAUCAGUGUUGUUCGAAGAUGUAUCUGUGGACUUCACCAGGAAGGAGUGGCGGCUGCUGGACCCGGCCCAAAGGCUCCUGUGCAGGGAUGUGAUGCUGGAGAACUACGAGCACCUGGUGUCCCUGGAACGCCAGAAAGCCAACAACAUGAAAGAAAGAAGCCAAGAAAAGGUAGGUAAAUACUUGAGGCAAGCUUUAUUCUUCAACAGCAGAAUAUUGACUAUGGAGAGAGGCAAGAUGUUGAGAGAAGCAUUUAAUAUGUCCACAAAUCCAGUGCCCUCAAGAAAAAUAUCCCAUAAAUGUGACUCCUCUGGAACAAGCUUGAAAAGUGUUUCAGGAUUAAUUAUUAUUAAUAGAAACCAGAUAAGAAAAAAGCCUAAUGAUCUCAAUGGAUGUGGAUUCCUUGAUAUGGUACAUGAGAAGACUCACCCAGGGAACAAGCCCUGUGAAAAUGAUCAAAAGAAAUCCCACAGACAUAAUGAGGAGUUUAUACAACAUCAGAAGAAUUCUGUUUUGAAGAAGAUUCUUGAAUAUAAUAAGUGUGGGAAAGCCUUUCACAAAAAGGCGGCCUUUGUUACACGUAAGAGAGCUCACAAAGGAGAGAAAUCCUCUGAAGGUAAUGAAUGCAGACAAGCCAUCACCCAAAAGUUAAAGCUCAAUGCUCAUCCAAGAACCCUUAGGGAAAGAAAAUCGCAUGAAUCAAUAAAAACAGGAAAUCUUCAUGCAUGAAGUCAAAACAUGCACAUCAGAGAGCUCACCUAGGGAAGAAAUACUAUGAUUGUAAUAAACUAGAGAAAUCCUUUAGCAGGAAGUCCAAACUAACUCAACAUCAGAGAGGGUACGGAGGUGGAAAACCCAAGGAGUAUAAUGAAAGUGAGGAAACCUUGUGGAAGUCAUACCACAUUCAAAGUGAGAGAUCUCUUGGAAAGAAAAUCUAUGACGGUGAUAAAUGUGGGAAAUCCUUCCACGCAAAGCCAUGCCUCACUCAACAUCAGAGAACUCAUACAACAGAAAAACUUAGUGAGGGUAAUGAUAGUGAGAGCACUGUAAAGAAGGAGUCACACCUCCCUCUAAAUCAGAGAAUUAACACAAGAGAGAACAGCUUUAAAGGUAAAAAAUGUGAGAAGUCCUCCUGUGAGAAGCCAAAACUCACUCAACGUCAGAGCGCUCACAAGGGAAAGAAAGCCUAUGACUGUAAUAGAUGUAGGAAAAGUUUCGUAAGAAAACAGACCUUGCUCAACCUCAGAGCACACACACAGGAAAAAAGGCCCUUUGAGUGUAAUGAGUGUGGGAAGUCCUUCUUUGUGAAGUCCAACCUCACUGAACAUCAGAGAACUCACACAGGAGAG